UAAUGCGUAGGAAUCUACCUAGUAGUACGGAAUAGCCAUUAGAAAUGGUGGGUAAUACUGUAUAAUCCCCGAGGGGGAAAGAUUUAUCGCUAUUAGAUGAGCCUACGUUAGAUUAGCUAGUUGGUGAGGUAAUGGCUUACCAAGGCUAUGAUCUAUAGCUGGUCUGAGAGGACGAUCAGCCACACUGGAACUGAGAUACGGUCCAGACUCCUACGGGAGGCAGCAGUGGGGAAUAUUGGACAAUGGGCGAAAGCCUGAUCCAGCUAUGCCGCGUGAGUGAAGAAGGCCUUCGGGUUGUAAAACUCUUUCAAUAGGGAAGAUAAUGACGGU
RNAcentral lists this ribosomal RNA (330 nucleotides) under Ehrlichia canis. RNAcentral's name for it is "bacterial SSU rRNA". It matches the Rfam family "Bacterial small subunit ribosomal RNA", at positions 111 to 458 of the family's 1533-position model. The record is from RNAcentral. RNAcentral also lists the same sequence under 1 other name. Lineage: Bacteria; Pseudomonadati; Pseudomonadota; Alphaproteobacteria; Rickettsiales; Anaplasmataceae.